Molecule: ribosomal RNA, 365 nt
Filed under: uncultured organism
Description: bacterial SSU rRNA
Rfam family: Bacterial small subunit ribosomal RNA
Source: RNAcentral
CGGAGGAUCCAAGCGUUAUCCGGAAUCAUUGGGUUUAAAGGGUCCGUAGGCGGUUUGUAAGUCAGUGGUGAAAGCCCAUCGCUCAACGGUGGAACGGCCAUUGAUACUGCAAGACUUGAAUUAUUAGGAAGUAACUAGAAUAUGUAGUGUAGCGGUGAAAUGCUUAGAGAUUACAUGGAAUACCAAUUGCGAAGGCAGGUUACUACUAAUGGAUUGACGCUGAUGGACGAAAGCGUGGGGAGCGAACAGGAUUGGAUACCCUGGUAGUCCACGCCGUAAACGAUGGAUACUAGCUGUUCGGAGCAAUCUGAGUGGCUAAGCGAAAGUGAUAAGUAUCCCACCUGGGGAGUACGUUCGCAAGAAUG